This 551-nucleotide ribosomal RNA is filed under the name uncultured Actinomycetes bacterium. Its description in RNAcentral is "bacterial SSU rRNA". It matches the Rfam family "Bacterial small subunit ribosomal RNA", at positions 259 to 805 of the family's 1533-position model. Lineage: Bacteria; Bacillati; Actinomycetota; Actinomycetes. The record is from RNAcentral.
UAUGGCCUACCAAGGCAAUGACGGGUAGCGGGUCUGAGAGGAUGAUCCGCCACACUGGGACUGAGACACUGCCCAGACUCCUACGGGAGGCUGCAGUCGAGAAUCUUCCACAAUGGGCGAAAGCCUGAUGGAGCGACGCUGCGUGCAGGAUGAAGGCCUUAGGGUUGUAAACUGCUGUCACGCUAUAGGAAACUAUUGGGGUUAAUAGCUCCAGUAUUGACCAAAGCGAGAGGAAGUGCCGGCUAACUCCGUGCCAGCAGCCGCGGUAAGACGGAGGGCGCAAGCGUUGUUCGGAAUCACUGGGCAUAAAGAGCACGUAGGCUGUCAGCUAAGUCGGGUGUGAAAACCCUCGGCCCAACCGGGGAACUGCAUUCGAAACUGGCUGACUCGAGGACAGGAGGGGUGAGUGGAACUCCAGGUGGAACGGUGAAAUGUGUAGAUAUCUGGAGGAACACCGGUGGCGAAAGCGACUUACUGGGCCGUCUCUGACGCUGAGGUGCGAAAGCUAGGGUAGCGAACGGGAUUAGAUACCCCGGUAGUCCUAGCCGUAA